UACGAAGGGGGCGAGCGUUGUUCGGAAUUACUGGGCGUAAAGGGCGCGUAGGCGGCGUCCCAAGUCAGAUGUGAAAGUCCUGGGCUUAACCUGGGGACUGCAUUUGAUACUGGGUUGCUUGAAUUCGGGAGAGGAUAGCGGAAUUCCCAGUGUAGAGGUGAAAUUCGUAGAUAUUGGGAAGAACACCGGUGGCGAAGGCGGCUAUCUGGACCGACAUUGACGCUGAGGCGCGAAAGCGUGGGGAGCAAACAGG
This 253-nucleotide ribosomal RNA is filed under the name uncultured bacterium. RNAcentral describes it as "partial 16S ribosomal RNA". It matches the Rfam family "Bacterial small subunit ribosomal RNA", at positions 524 to 776 of the family's 1533-position model. The record is from RNAcentral.